ACAGAAUUAAUGUGAGUAAGCAAGCAAAGUUUGGAAUCAGAAAUAGGGUUCUCAGUUAACAUAGUACCAGCAAAGUUUGCAGCAUAUAUUGGAGGAGGAGUUUGAGCAGUGGAUUCCCCCAACUUGGUCUGGUGUAAUAAGUUCAUCAAUUGGUCAUAAUCAUGUCUGCUCAACCCUGGUAUCGUAGAGCUUUGGCCAUACACAGAUUGAUAGCUAGCAGGAGGAUUCCCUUGAGGAACAGACAACAGUCCAUCAGAAAU
This 260-nucleotide long non-coding RNA is filed under the name Nicotiana benthamiana. RNAcentral describes it as "long non-coding RNA (NBEN_LNC010647)". The record is from RNAcentral. Lineage: Eukaryota; Viridiplantae; Streptophyta; Magnoliopsida; Solanales; Solanaceae.